GGGUGGUUGAUGCUACGAAAAAAAUUGACAAGAAAAGAAAAAGAAAAAUGUGAAGAAAAAGAAGAAAAAGGAACAAGAUCAAGAAAAAGAAUCAAUAGAUGAAAAGUUGGAAAAAGAAUUGAAAAUUGGUUGCAAAUUCUUGAUGUUAAGAAGUGGAAAUUGUUGAAUUGUGCUGAUUUGAAUGCUCUCUUAGCUCAAGGUGCUUUGUUGUCCAGAAAAACCAAUUUUUCUUUCUUAGCCCAACCAAAAUACAAGCCUUGAAAGUCCUUGUGAUGCAAACUUGCAGGUGAAUGUUUUCAUUGUGGUAGAAAUGAAAGGCAAAGUUGAAUUGUGUGACCUUUGUGUUGCUAAGAGUGAGAAACACGCAUCCUUAUACACCAGUGUGCUUGAGAGAAACAAUUUCCUUGGUGAGGAAAGGGUUCAUGUUAGUGUUG
This 434-nucleotide long non-coding RNA is filed under the name Vigna radiata. RNAcentral describes it as "long non-coding RNA (VRAD_LNC004131)". Lineage: Eukaryota; Viridiplantae; Streptophyta; Magnoliopsida; Fabales; Fabaceae. The record is from RNAcentral.